UGGAGUAAAGUCGUAACAAGGUUUCGUAGGUGAACCUGCGGAAGGAUCAUUA
This 52-nucleotide ribosomal RNA is filed under the name uncultured fungus. Its description in RNAcentral is "partial 18S ribosomal RNA". Lineage: Eukaryota; Fungi. The record is from RNAcentral.